GUCAGACCUGUCAUUGGCAGGGCUGACCGAGCAGCAAUGUGCAAGUCCAUGGCAGGUGGGGACAGAAGUGGUGCAACCAGUCUGCUCAGAGCCAGCGAGGCCAGCAAAACGAAGUCCUAGUUGAGAACUCUAUUCCAGGCCUGCUGGACUUGAGACAGUUUCUGGUGAUGUGCUCAGAAUCAGAGGGGAGGGGAAGUGAUGAGAUGGCCCACAGGAGGAAGUCUUCCAACUGAAUUAUGGUGGAAGAGGCAGCACACGGCAUCGCCGAGGACCACGCGGCUCCAGUCAGAGCAUGGUGACUGUUUGCACUCUGUGCGUUUAAAAGCUGAGUUGCCUUUCUGUUUGUGUGGGCACGUCUGGCAUGACCCUGUUCCACAGCAUUUGUUUGAAAUAUUUCAAACAUAGCUAUUUAAUGAGUGGAAAUAAAAAUAUCCUUAUUCAAGCAGGGCCCCUGGUUAUUGGUGCAGCAUAGAGAUGUAUUCCUACUCUGUGGCUUUCUGGAUGGGAAUUCGUUUGAGUUCCAAGGGUAACUGUCGGAACAUGCACCGUGGGGAAGUUGUUAGGAGGAACAGGCCAGGCUGCUGUAGAACAGGCCGCAGAUGGUUACUGCCCUGAAAAGCGCGCUUGUCUGUGCUUACAGAUCAUGUUCCGAGGCCUAGCCAUGCCGGUCCAGACUGCUCACCUGUGGGUGCCUCCUCUGGCAGUGGUGGAGGUGACAUUUCCCUCUCACACAUCCAUCCAGUCGCAUUACAUUUUGUACGGUGCACCACUUGCUGCAGUAGGACAGUUUCACAAAAUGUUAGGGCAAGAGUGACAAUGAGUUUUUAUUUAAUUCAAAAGAGUACGUUGAAUUUGGGGGAACGGGUCAUAUUUCAACAAAGACUUCACAAAAUCAUGCCAUCGGUAAAAAGAUUAAUAUUUAUUUCUGUCUUUCUGCAAUCUUCAUGGAGCCCCAGGCGCAUAUCAAAUGAAUAGAAAGAGGCACAGGUCGCCAUGUAAGGGGAGCAAAUGACUCAGCCCUGAGUUUUACAGUGAAUCCAAGUUCUUGGGGUUAUACACGCGCAAGCCAGGCAAUUCACGGAAGAUUUCUGUAGCCAUCUGAUCAACCUCGUAUAGACAUCACGGGCAGACAGAGCUGAUUAGCCCAAUGACCUGAGUUUGCAGAAUUUUGAGAACUAAACAAGAACUGCCCUUUCUCACUCUUUCUGGGGCCCCACUGGGGACCCGAGGAUAGGACUUCUUCAGACCCCAGGGUUGAGGAGGAUCCCUGGUUCUGGCAGGGCCAGCAAAUUAAAUUCCCACUGCUAGAAUAUGGGACUCGGACAGGGAAAGCUAGUUGAAGUUUUCAUCUCUUACAACCUAAAGGAAAGCAAUAGUAAAAUACUCUGGCAACAUUUUCCAAAUUUGCACCCCACAAAUAAUGAGGCCUAGAAGAUGAGGAAGAGAGAAAAGCAGGGCAUGGGGUAAGAGUGUCCCAGGUGAUCGGAAAGAUGCUGAACCCCAGACUGAGGUUUGGACAGUCAAGGUGAACACAGGAACCAAAUGCAAGGCAGGAACCCAUCUGCCUCAUCCACGGAGGUGUGUCCACAUGCCUGUGAGCCCGGCAUCUUUACCCUGUGCAGCCCUGCAUCAGGGGGCUGUGGAAGGGCAGCUCUGUGCUGUUCUCAAGACCAGAAAAAAGGCAAGAGUAUUUGUUAUCAUUGCUAGCGCUCCUUACAAAUGCAGUAAGUUGGCGAAGAAGGUUGUAAGAGGGCAGUCUAGCCACUGGAGUAAAUGAUUAGUAUUUGCAGUGAAUCUAAGAGAAUCAACUGGGAACAAAUUAAAUGUAAUAGUAAAUACUAUCUCAUAAGGUGGUGAGUUGCAAUAUAAUUAUCAAAGCUAAAAGCUUUCUUAUGUACCAGAUAAAAUGACAAUUGAAUAAAAAUACAUUGGGAAAAAUUAUAACGUAUAACAGCAGUAGGGAGUCACCACCCCUACAGGUCAGCCUUAUAAAGAAUACAUGUGAUUUACAUGAAGAAGGCAAAUAAGUAUUGUUGAUGGGCAUAAAGGAGGGAGAGAGGAAAUGAAGAAGAAACCAUGUUCCUGGUUGGACAGAAUUAGAAUUGUACAGAAUACCAACUUUCCACAAAUCUAUAGCUUCACCCAGUUUUCAUGAAGAUCACAAUGGAUUUGGGAUUCUGAAUUGAUCAGGGGAAAAUCCCAUACAUGAUCAAAUCCAAUUGCUGGUCCCUGCUUAGUGGUUUUCAAGUCUGUCCAGGACAUCCCGUCAUCUCUCUGCCAGCCAAGCAGUUAUCAUUUCCGUGGUCUUCUUUUUCAGUUCGUGCUCACUGUAGCCACAAUUCGCUUAUUAUUUCUUAAACAAUAAGAAGAGGGAAAGCCCACCUGUAACUGCACUGGCUGAAAACUCUUCCAUAGCUGCUGCUUCCGGUCUGGUCCGGUGUCCCAUGGCUCCCCUGCCCUGACCAUCUGCAGCUGAGGCCCCUCUCCUGCUGCUCUGCUGCGUACUAUGGGCAGGACAGCACUUUCCUCCAUGCUUUGUGUCCUGACACUCUGAGACUUUUACUAUUCCUUCUGCCUCAAGAUCUCUUUCUUGUCCUCUUCCCCAAUCAUUUCUUCCUUGUUCUUUAAAAAGCAACUCAACAUCAUGUAUUUCAAAGAAGACUGACAUGCUGUUCUCCUUAUUCGAUUUUACCAUCCCACGAGUCCUCUUAGAAGGUGUAAAAAUUCUAAGUAAUAAUCUGUACAAUUAAUCGUUGAAUAACUGUAAAUCCUGCUAGAAGAUGAGCUCUACAGUCGUGCAGACUCUUGUCUUGCUCCCCGGUGCCCACCUGGUGAUGGGCUUAUCACAUUCUCUGGUUUUGUGGAACGUUGGACAUGAAUGAACAUGAAGGAAAAUGAUUGUUACAGAGUAACAAGGAAGACAGCAAAAGACAAACAAAGGCAUAAUAAUUGGAACAACAUGUUGCCUGUGCCAGAACUGGAGGAACAGUCAAUAAAAUACAAUAUAAACUUCAGAAAUAACCCCUACUAUAGAUUAAAAAAAAUUAACAUCUGAUAAAAACAACACAUCUAGGUAAAAAUUACUUACUAUAUGGUGCAGGACAAUGGAGUAACUUUUUGGAUUAGAAAUGUAGAACUCUAUGUUUUGGAGAAUAAAAGAAAUUUCAAUUCAGAGAAAAUAGCAUUUCCAAAAUGUGUUCAAAAGAGUAUGUACGGGUGAACAUGAAACCAUAAUGUUAUGGCUAAGUGUGGGAAGUUUCAAAUUAAAUGAAACUGCUUUCUUUACUUCAAAACUUCCAAACAUUAGGUUAAUUUUCAAGCUGUAUUAUAAUGCAGGAUUUGGCAUAAUUAUGUGGAACAAUUUUUAUUUUCAUAGUAUAAUAUCAAUUUGGGAAAUCUAGAUGAAAAACUACACUACAGGACAAAUUCAAGGAAUAUUUAUAUAGUUUUGGCAUCAGGAAAUUUUUUCUAAACAUAAUAUCAAAGGCAUCACUCCAAAAGGACAUUUGUACCAUUAAGGUUCUUUCCAAGAGGAAAACGCUACCACCAAGGUUAUAAGCAACAGGAAAACUCUCUGAUAAACUAAGUGUAGUAGACUCUAGCAUUGUUUCCAAAUAUUUUCUAUAUCUCCUUGGGGAUAAGUCAUACUUCCCUUCCUCUGGAAUGUCUGGGUUGGCCAUGGGACUUGCUUUGACCAACGAAAAGUAAACGGAAAUCAUGCUGAGCAGAAUAUUUUAGAGACUUAACCCACUCUCUCCCUACCCCCACAAUCAUGGUGGCACCUGUUAAUGUUAAAGGCCUGUCAGCAGGAGCCCUCAGAGUCCCUGAGGAAUCUUUCUGUAAAGAUAGAGCUGAAUGAGAAAUGAACUUUGGUGCAGUCUGUUGGCUUCUUUGUUUCUGUAGCAUCAUCUUGCUUAUAUUAAUGAAUUCAUUAAGGAAAAAGAUAGUCAUUGGAAUAAAUCAGGAACCCAAAGCAUGGACUGGACAAUGGUGCUUAUCAUAAAAACUUUGGAGGCUAAGAAAUCAAAAUAUGAAAGUAAUUUUAUUGCAGGAAGUUGUAUGGUCAAGAUAUUUCCACUGAAGUUGCAUGGACUCUAACCUUUCUUCAGAUUCUUUAUUCCUCAACUAAAAAACCCCUGAAAUUUCAAGGAGAGUAUAUCCAUAGGCCUAAUUUUUAUGACCUAUUCAUCCUAUCAUUAAGGGAGUGUGGGGCUUCUAAUUACAGUCUCCUGUCCCUACCAGAUAUACCUACCCAGGAGCAGACAGAGCGAAUUGACAUUCUGUUAAUAAAAAUAGAUGCCAGGAAGGCAAAAUACAAAUAUCUACUGUCUAAAAGCCUUUAGACUGGACCAUUUUAAUAAAUUGAGGAGAUAAAAAACAGCUUUUAAUGAAAUUAAGGGAAAACAAAAAUAUUAAUGACAUGUGUGAAAGCAAAUAGCUGAUAUCCUGAAUAUAUAAAUAUGCAAGUGAAAAUUAAAACAAUCAUCAGUAGAAAUGGGACUAGUCCAAGGCAAAAGACAUAAACAAGAAUUGCUAAAAUAUAAACUGUAAACAACCAGAAAAUUGAAAAGAUUUCAAUAUACUAGCAUUCAAAGAAAUGCAAAUUAAAACAAGAUAUUUUUCAUCUGUCAAAGUUAUCAAAAAUGAUGAUAGUCUCUUUUUAAAGGAGGAGCAAACUUCUCUAGACUAAUAUCAGAUCACUGAGAAAAUAGUAUUUUUCCUAUAGUCCAUGAUGAAUGUAAACUAUAUCUAUGUCUCUAUAGAAAUAUUUGGCAGUAUUUACUCAAAGUCUUACAAUGCUUAAGCCUUUUAACUAAAGAAUUCAGUGAUGAAUUUAACCUAACAAAAUAGUCUUAGAUUUGGGCAAUUGAUUCAUAGGAAUAUUUAUUUCACUAUCACUUACAUAGUGAAAAUUUAGAAAUAACCUUAAUGGCCAACAACAGAGGAUUUGUAAAAUAAAUUAUGGUAUAUCUGUAUACUGAUGCAUACAUUAAAUGAACUGAUGUUUUAGAAAAUUAUCUAAUGACCUAGAAACCAUUCACAUCAUAUUAUUAAUUGCAUAAAAAGUCAUGCUAUAAAACAGCUACUAUAAAAUGCCAAGUACACAGAAAAAUAUUUAUUGCAAUGUGAUAAUGAAAUAUUAGUAUAUUGGUCAUCUUUGUAGCAAUAGAAGAAAAUACUUAACACCUGUAACUUACAGAGGGGAGGUUUAAUUUGGCUCACGAUUUUGGAGGUUUCAGUUCAUGGUUGACUGCCUCUAAGACAAGAACAUCAUGGUGGAAUAGAGCUGCUCAGCUCAUGGCAGCCAGAAGCAGAGAGUGAAAGACAGAGGUAGAGCAAGAGAUAUACCCUCCAAAGCCAUGCCACAGUGACCCACCUUCUCCAGCUGAGCCCCACCUCCUAACAGCGCAUUCAGCUAUGCGCCAUGAUCUUCUCACCUUCCCAAAGCUCCACAGCUCUGAACACAUAGACUUCUGUGCGAUAUUUUUAGACCAAGCCAUAACAGUUAGCAUUGACUUUACGGGGGAAAGUGGGCUUGAAAUGGCUUAAAUUUCUUUUUUGUGUGUUUCUAUCUUCCCAAACUGUUCUGUAAUGAUGGUAACUUUUGUCAACAGAGUAGAAGCCAAAUCAGAGCUAAAGAAAUGAUCACUUUUAGUACAUUUUAAGAAGGUUUUGAUUAACAUAGCAAUUUGCACUUUGCAAUUUAUUACUACAAAUAACGUUUGCUAUGAUUUUGAUUUCCCAUGUAAAAUCACUCUCCAGUAAUUAAGAACUGCAAUUCACAAAAGUAUUUGUUAUCACUGCAAGAUUCCUCUGUGAAAAUUAAAUAUGACAAGUGUGUUUCAAGUGUUUUCUUGUGCCUUAUACCAUGAUACAAGACAGUUUAAGACUUUCUCUUGAGAAAACUUAUAGGAGGAAGAGAAGCCCUGCUGCACAGGGGAGAAUCAUCCAUAUGAAGAGAAGAGGAGUUGAAGCAAAUCACCCUUAAAUUGGUGCCAUGCAGAAACCUUGAGGAUACUGACUCCCCUGUGGGGUUACAUUUAACCUCCCUUUAUCUGUAGAGAUGGCAGCCCACUUCUCCCCAUGGGGUUCUAGCAUGGAAGAUCUAUAGUCUUAACAAUUUUAUUUUCAGGUGCUCUUUUGCUUGGGAAACAUGCCAAAAAUACUGUUUUAAAAAUGAUUUGUUUAAAAAAAUGAACCUUGGGACAUUGCCUCUUCCUUUGGGGAAUACACUAGGCUGAUCAUGUGGGGCUAGUCCAGUAGUCCAGGAGACUUGUAUCUGCAUGAAUUCACACCUAUUUGCUUUCUACUUGUGCUUUAACAACUAUAUGACAAUAGCUGCUUCUCUAGAAAUUUGCUGGCUUUAUUUGUUUUCAGGUCACUGGGUUAGGCAUCAUCAGUGAUGCAGGAAUAAAAGCAAAUGUGGAUCAUACUCUCUAGUUAUAAAGUCUCUAUUGUGAUGUAUGUGCAUAUACAUAUCACACACACACACCAGACAACAACACAGUGUUCCAGUUGAUAGUUUUGAAUGACUGCAAUCUAAGGCAGGGACUAUUGGUAUUCCAAGAAGACAGAGAAACCAAAGGGGACUUUAAGGUUGUUAUGUCAAUAUCAAAGGGGAUUCAGAUAUGAAAUAGUAUCACAGAUUUCUAUUAUAAAAAGAGAAUAAGCUUUAUGGUAAAUCUUAAUUUAAGUAUUCUCAAAAAUCAGUGCUCUGUGGCUGGUUCUAGAAGUGAGCUAUAUUGUUUAGGAGUAAUUUACUGCAGGCAAUCGAUGCGUUCCUGAAAAGUCAGGUGAGUCAAAAUCAUCUCCAUAACAUCUGUGAUUUUAGAAUAAUAACUCCAGGGCUGUUAUGGUAAUCAAAACAUGAAUUUCAGAAAGGAACCAAUCUAUUUUCAGAAAAAACCCAACAGCAUUAGAAAAGAGUGAAACCAAAGAAUCACAAUAUUAAACUUGCCCAUUAUUGCUUCAUCUUCACUGAUGAAAGUUGGAGAGGAACUGUCCCUCUGUUCACUUAAAGCUGAGGCCCCUCUUGUCCCUAGGUCAGUGGUGGCGAACUAUGGCCUGCAUGUAGCAGUGUGCUGUUUGUAUCAUUGAAAGCUCUAAAAAGUUCGCCUCUCUCAAACUAGGAAAGUGUUGUAGUGAUUUUCCUCUCUCUCUCCUUUUACAUCAUGUGUUCCUCUCCUGUAUGUUUUCCCCAUCAG
Molecule: long non-coding RNA, 7205 nt
Organism: Heterocephalus glaber (naked mole-rat)
Lineage: Eukaryota; Metazoa; Chordata; Mammalia; Rodentia; Bathyergidae
Source: Ensembl